Molecule: ribosomal RNA, 429 nt
Filed under: Gemmatimonadota bacterium
Lineage: Bacteria; Pseudomonadati; Gemmatimonadota
Description: Gemmatimonadetes bacterium partial 16S ribosomal RNA
Rfam family: Bacterial small subunit ribosomal RNA
Source: RNAcentral
UAGGGAAUCUUCGGCAAUGGACGAAAGUCUGACCGAGCAACGCCGCGUGAGUGAAGAAGGUUUUCGGAUCGUAAAACUCUGUUGUUAGAGAAGAACAAGGACGUUAGUAACUGAACGUCCCCUGACGGUAUCUAACCAGAAAGCCACGGCUAACUACGUGCCAGCAGCCGCGGUAAUACGUAGGUGGCAAGCGUUGUCCGGAUUUAUUGGGCGUAAAGCGAGCGCAGGCGGUUUCUUAAGUCUGAUGUGAAAGCCCCCGGCUCAACCGGGGAGGGUCAUUGGAAACUGGGAGACUUGAGUGCAGAAGAGGAGGGUGGAAUUCCAUGUGUAGCGGUGAAAUGCGUGAAUAUAUGGAGGAACACCAGUGGCGAAGGCGGCUCUCUGGUCUGUAACUGACGCUGAGGCUCGAAAGCGUGGGGAGCAAACAGG